CUGAGUUGCAAAACUCCCAAACCACUGUGAACCUUACCUAACGUUGCUUCGGCGGAUCCGCCCCGGCGCUCUCGCGACCGGAACCAGGCGCCCGCCGGGGGAAAACCAAAACCAUUGAAUCUCCGUGGAUUAUCUGAGUGGCGAAAGCACAAAUACAAUCA
This 161-nucleotide unclassified non-coding RNA is filed under the name uncultured Nectria. RNAcentral's name for it is "sequence contains ITS1". The record is from RNAcentral. Lineage: Eukaryota; Fungi; Ascomycota; Sordariomycetes; Hypocreales; Nectriaceae.